Drosophila arizonae is the source of this 1306-nucleotide long non-coding RNA. RefSeq lists it as uncharacterized. The record is from RefSeq and is a predicted model, not a curated record. Lineage: Eukaryota; Metazoa; Arthropoda; Insecta; Diptera; Drosophilidae.
AAUUUCAAAAGAAAUUGAGAAGUGCACACAACUCGACAACAAUUGGAAAGUUUUCAAAGAUAACCCAAAAAGAGGACGAAAAAGGAAAUAGUGAAUAGAUAAUAAUAUUAUUUUUUAUAUUUUACAGGACCCCCACAGUUGAGCAGACAGCUAGACGCCUUCGAUUGAAGCUAGCAUGGAUCAAACAGCUACAGCAACAAAUUCCAAUUGACUCCGAGAAAAUUGUUAUGAAACUCAAAGAAAUUCUAAAAUGUUUAUUGCUCAUAUUUCUCUACUGCAACGACAAACGACAAAUCAACAAAUUCAUUAACARCAACAAAAAGCCAUCUCAUCAAGAGAACCAAUCCAAAUCGAAACGCCUUAAGAGACUGCAAUGCAACUGCCAGCAGCCCCAAACCGAAGCAUUGUGCCCCAAACAACAGACCCGGCCACCAAAUCCUACAGAAUUCCGACAAAAACUACAAGGAAGGAAACCCAAAUUCAAGUUAGCAACAACAAAAUCGACAUUCGCAUAUAACGGCACAAAUGUUGCGACGGCGCCUGCUACGCUGAUGACGAUGAUGAUGAAGACGAUGACAAAGCGUAAGAUCGAACAUUUGACGGCGAAAGUAGCAGGCAGCAGGAGCAGGAGCAGGAGCAGCGGCAGCAGCAGCAGCAGCGACGGCAACGUCGUCAUUUAUCUAAGGCAGCAGCUUAACGGGGACACAGUCGCCCCGCCAUAGAUAUUUGGCUGAAUAUCUAAGCAGGGGCGGCUGCCCCAGCAGCAACCCCUCGACAGGAAGGAAUCAAACACAAACACAAACACACACACACACGCAUACCACCCCAACAAGCAAUCUAAGUUUCUGCGGCGAAUUCAACACAAACACAAGCACAACAUCACACACACACUCACUCACACACACGCAUACACAGAGAGAGCUACAGCCUAAGCAAGAGAAAUGGAGAGAGCAAGAGCGAGAGCAGCGAGCGCAGCACGAGAGAGCAUCUUUGGCAGCCCAAAAAGCGCACAACGAAAACAACAUUUCGCAAGUAUGUUUUGACCUUACGUUUUAGCUUAACGUUUUUCAGUUGCACUUUUAAAACCUUUCGAUUUCAAAGGCCGCUGCACAGCGUUAGCCAACAAAAACAAAUCGAAAUUAAAUAUCUCAAAAGAAAUAUUUUACCAAAUUAAUACGCAAAACAAGAAAAAACAGCUAAAAGAGCUCAAAUUAUCCAAAGAAAUUCUAAAUUUCCACUUUCGGCUACUCUGGCAAGCAACAAUUUACAAAAUCCACAAAAUUCUAACACUAACCGGCAAUCAAAA